Molecule: ribosomal RNA, 558 nt
Filed under: Proteus mirabilis
Lineage: Bacteria; Pseudomonadati; Pseudomonadota; Gammaproteobacteria; Enterobacterales; Morganellaceae
Description: bacterial SSU rRNA
Rfam family: Bacterial small subunit ribosomal RNA
Source: RNAcentral
GUCGAGCGGUAGCACAGAGAGCUUGCUCUCGGGUGACGAGCGGCGGACGGGUGAGUAAUGUCUGGGAAACUGCCUGAUGGAGGGGGAUAACUACUGGAAACGGUAGCUAAUACCGCAUAACGUCGCAAGACCAAAGUGGGGGACCUUCGGGCCUCAUGCCAUCAGAUGUGCCCAGAUGGGAUUAGCUAGUAGGUGGGGUAAUGGCUCACCUAGGCGACGAUCCCUAGCUGGUCUGAGAGGAUGACCAGCCACACUGGAACUGAGACACGGUCCAGACUCCUACGGGAGGCAGCAGUGGGGAAUAUUGCACAAUGGGCGCAAGCCUGAUGCAGCCAUGCCGCGUGUGUGAAGAAGGCCUUCGGGUUGUAAAGCACUUUCAGCGGGGAGGAAGGCGAUAAGGUUAAUAACCUUGGCGAUUGACGUUACCCGCAGAAGAAGCACCGGCUAACUCCGUGCCAGCAGCCGCGGUAAUACGGAGGGUGCAAGCGUUAAUCGGAAUUACUGGGCGUAAAGCGCACGCAGGCGGUCUGUCAAGUCGGAUGUGAAAUCCCCGGGCUC